Long non-coding RNA from Mytilus californianus (California mussel), 546 nucleotides. RefSeq lists it as uncharacterized. The transcript has 2 exons. The record is from RefSeq and is a predicted model, not a curated record. NCBI's taxonomy places the organism in Eukaryota, Metazoa, Mollusca, Bivalvia, Mytilida, Mytilidae.
CUUUUGUCCUUAUGUCCCAUGUGUCAUCAAUUGCUUAUGAACCACUUGACAGAACUUUGUAACACUUCGAUACAAUCUUUCUCUCAUGAUGUACUUUUUCAAAUGACAAUUUAUAAAGUAUUAGGUUCAUAAAUAAUACCAUAAAAAGCAUGUUGGGAAUAACAACUUUUUACAAAUUGAUGCAAAAUAUUUGAUGCAGUAUCCAUUGUUAUAGGUUUCCAAAAAUGGAUCCCACCAGAACAAAAAGAAUAAGUCUAUGAGGAAAAUAAAGGCAUAGAUCAACAACUAAAAACUGUAAUGCACAGAUAAUAUAUGAGAUCGAGAUAGAACUGAAACAAGUUGGCGAAGAUAUGUGAUAUCACAUGCAUUGGAAGAGCAGUGCAAAAUAACACUGAAGCAGAAUUAUGAAACAGUGAUUAAAAACAUCAAAUUGAGAGAGAAAUUUUACAUGUUGUAACUAUAUCAUGCUGUUCAUUCUUAAGAUUAAUGUUUAUUGUACUUGCAAUGGAAGUGAAUACAGUAGAUAAAAAGAGAAAGUUAAACAUU